Molecule: ribosomal RNA, 449 nt
Filed under: uncultured bacterium
Lineage: Bacteria
Description: partial 16S ribosomal RNA
Rfam family: Bacterial small subunit ribosomal RNA
Source: RNAcentral
AACGAACGCUGGCGGCAGGCUUAACACAUGCAAGUCGAACGAGAUCUUCGGAUCUAGUGGCAGACGGGUGAGGAACACGUGGGAACAUCCCUUUCAGUUCGGAAUAACGUUGGGAAACUAACGCUAAUACCGGAUACGUCCUUCGGGAGAAAGAUUUAUCGCUGAAAGAUUGGCCCGCGUCUGAUUAGCUAGUUGGUGAGGUAAUGGCUCACCAAGGCUACGAUCAGUAGGUGAUCUGAGAGGAUGAUCAGCCACAUUGGGACUGAGACACGGCCCAAACUCCUACGGGAGGCAGCAGUGGGGAAUAUUGGACAAUGGGCGCAAGCCUGAUCCAGCCAUGCCGCGUGAGUGAUGACGGCCUUCGGGUUGUAAAGCUCUUUUAUCCGGGAAGAUAAUGACUGUACCGGAAGAAUAAGCCCCGGCAAACUUCGUGCCAGCCGCCGCGGUAA